Molecule: transfer RNA, 69 nt
Filed under: Ictidomys tridecemlineatus (thirteen-lined ground squirrel)
Lineage: Eukaryota; Metazoa; Chordata; Mammalia; Rodentia; Sciuridae
Description: Spermophilus tridecemlineatus (thirteen-lined ground squirrel) tRNA
Rfam family: tRNA
About the family: Transfer RNA (tRNA) molecules are approximately 80 nucleotides in length. Their secondary structure includes four short double-helical elements and three loops (D, anti-codon, and T loops). Further hydrogen bonds mediate the characteristic L-shaped molecular structure. tRNAs have two regions of fundamental functional importance: the anti-codon, which is responsible for specific mRNA codon recognition, and the 3' end, to which the tRNAs corresponding amino acid is attached (by aminoacyl-tRNA synthetases). tRNAs cope with the degeneracy of the genetic code in two manners: having more than one tRNA (with a specific anti-codon) for a particular amino acid; and 'wobble' base-pairing, i.e. permitting non-standard base-pairing at the 3rd anti-codon position.
Source: Rfam by way of RNAcentral
GGAGCUGGAGCUCAGUGGUAGAGCGCUUGCCUAGCAUGUGUGAGGCCCUGGGUUCGAUCCUCAGCACCA